GGUUCCCUGGACUAGUGGAUAGCAUGUGGUGCUGUCAUCGCCGUGGUCCGGGUUCGAUACCCACGCAGGGAACCA
This 75-nucleotide transfer RNA is filed under the name Pangasianodon gigas (Mekong giant catfish). RNAcentral's name for it is "tRNA-Asp". The record is from RNAcentral. Lineage: Eukaryota; Metazoa; Chordata; Actinopteri; Siluriformes; Pangasiidae.